This is a non-coding RNA of Paramuricea clavata, 434 nucleotides long. The record is from the annotation of a GenBank genome assembly. Lineage: Eukaryota; Metazoa; Cnidaria; Anthozoa; Malacalcyonacea; Plexauridae.
GUCUGAAAGAUGAAAUACGGACCAUUAUUUCAUGAAAUAGAUACUCGUUUUAAAUAUCCAUUCAGUCACGUUUCUACGCAAUGUUUUAGAGUUUUUGUAUGCAGAAAUGAAAGCCAGGAUAUUAACCUCAUCGGUUUUGACGUUCAAAAAUCAAAACUUGUAACGGAAGUGUGUAGCUCAGCAGUUCGUAGUGAAAACGGAAAAAAAUUCACGCUCUUUGACAAAAGUUUCAAGAAUUUUAUUUCGAUUUUACGUGUUGUAUCAUAAAUAUGUAUUUCUUGAACGAUAGAUUAUUUGAAAACUGUGGUUUUUCGUAAUUGUUUGUCACAAAAGUCAAAUAAUGGAAACAACUUCGCAAUAAUGGACAAAUCAUGCAGCCAGUUCUAGGAGACGCGGGCGGAGGACGGGAAACUAAAGUCUAAUUUGGAGUGGCC